This 1893-nucleotide ribosomal RNA is filed under the name human gut metagenome. Its description in RNAcentral is "bacterial LSU rRNA". It matches the Rfam family "Bacterial large subunit ribosomal RNA", at positions 3 to 1989 of the family's 2925-position model. The record is from RNAcentral.
UCAAGCGAACAAGGGCGCAGGGCGAAUGCCUUGGCACUGGGAGCCGAUGAAAGACGUGAUAAGCUGCGAUAAGCUUCGGGGAGCUGCAAAUAAGCAUUGAUCCGGAGAUUUCUGAAUGAGGAAACUCACCUGGGUUCAUACUCAGGUACGUUAUACUGAACUUAAAAAUAGGUAUAUCGAGGGAACCGCCUGAACUGAAACAUCUAAGUAGGGCGAGGAAGAGACAUCAAACGAGAUUCCGUAAGUAGUGGCGAGCGAACGCGGAAGAGGGCAAACCGGAAGUAGAAAUACUUCCGGGGUACGGACUGCUUUUAGGACUUAAUCUGUUAACCGAACGGCAUGGGAAGGCCGGUCAGAGAGUGUGAGAACCACGUAGGUGAAAACGGAGAGAGCUGCGCAGGAUCCAGAGUACGGCCAGACACGUGAAACCUGGUCGGAAUACGGGGGGACCACCCUCCAACCCUAAAUACUACCCAGUGACCGAUAGCGUAUAGUACUGUGAAGGAAAGGUGAAAAGCACCCCGGGAGGGGAGUGAAAAAGAACCUGAAACCCUGUGCCUACAAGCACCUAGAGCACGUCAAUGUGUGAUAGGGUACUUUUUGUAGAACGGUCCGGCGAGCGAUUGUAUGCAGCAAGGUUAAGGACUUAAGGUCUGGAGCCGAAGCGAAAGCGAGUUUGAAAAGGGCGUUAAGUUGCAUACAAUGGGCCCGAAACCGGGUGACCUACCCAUGGUCAGGUUGAAGUGGAAGUAAAAUUCCAUGGAGGACCGAACCGACCUCCGUUGAAAAGGCGGCGGAUGAACUGUGGGUAGCGGAGAAAUUCCAAUCGAACCCGGAGAUAGCUGGUUCUCCCCGAAAUAGUUUUAGGACUAGCCUCAAGUUAGAUACCUGGAGGUAAAGCACUGAAUAGCCUAGCGGCCGAGAGGUUAGCGAAGCUUAUCAAACUCAGAAUGCCAGAGUAUUGAUGCUUGGGAGUCAGACAGUGUCAGAUAAAUGUCAUUGUCAAAAGGGAAACAGCCCAGAUCUACAGCUAAGGUCCCAAAGUCAGGUUAAGUGGAAAACGAUGUGAAGAUACGUAGACAACCAGGAUGUUGGCUCAGAAGCAGCCACACAUUCAAAGAGUGCGUAAUAGCUCACUGGUCGAGCGUCUUUGCGCGGAGAAUUUAACGGGGCUAAACCUGACACCGAAGCUUAGGCAAUACAGUAAUGUAUUGGGUAGGGGAGCGUUGUAUACGCGGUGAAACAGUAGCGCAAGCGGCUGUGGAGUGUAUAGAAGUGAGAAUGCCGGAAUGAGUAGCGCGAAUGCAGUGAGAAUCUGCAUGGCCGAAAGCCUCAGGUUUCUGGAGGAAGGUUCGUCCGCUCCAGGUUAGUCGGGAGCUAAGGUGAGGCCUAACGGCGUAGCCGAUGCACAGACGGUAGAGAUUCCGUCACCACCAAAAGAGUUAAACACAGGGACACAUUUGAAGUCUCGGAGCCGGGUGUUGGUUCCGGUAGCGAUCGAGGGAAAUUAGUACCGAAGUCCGGGAUGGAAGAUGGCGAGAAAAGCUGUGUGUAUUUCUGCGGUGCCCGUACCGCAAACCGACACAGGUAGGUAGGAAGAAGAUUCUAAGGCCAACGGGAGAAGGGUUGUUAAGGAACUCGGCAAAUUGACCCCGUAACUUCGGGAGAAGGGGUGCUCCAGAGAUGGAGCCGCAGAGAAUCGGCCCAAGCAACUGUUUACCAAAAACACAGGUUUGUGCUAAAUCGAAAGAUGACGUAUACGAGCUGACGCCUGCCCGGUGCUGGAAGGUUAAGAGGAGAUGUGCAAGCAUUGAAUCGAAGCCCCAGUGAACGGCGGCCGUAACUAUAACGGUCCUAAGGUAGCGAAAUUCCUUGUCAGGUAAGUUCUGACCC